GUUUGCUUCAGCAGUACAUAUACUAAAAUUGAACUGAUACAGAAAAAAAAUAACAUGGUUCCUGCAUAAGAAUAACAUGCAAAUUUGUGAAGCAUUCCAUAUGUAA
RNAcentral lists this small nuclear RNA (106 nucleotides) under Sciurus vulgaris (Eurasian red squirrel). The record is from RNAcentral. Lineage: Eukaryota; Metazoa; Chordata; Mammalia; Rodentia; Sciuridae.